GUCCUUCGGCAUUCUAAAGUUACAUUGUUUCGCAAAAAUCUGUAUCUGUAGCGCCCUGUUCAUACAGCGGAAGAACACUGUUGCCAUUUCUUAUUUCCCCUCUGUUGAAGCCCUGCAACCGACAAUACUCCAAGUUUUUCUUUCUUUUAACCAAGUUACUUGUUUUUUUCGUAUUAAUUUCUUCUGUUUCGUUUUGUUUCUUGGAUGCGCUGGUUUUGUGUCCAUGUUUGAAUGUAAACAUUGUCGACAGAUGUAAAUCAUGGCAUAACAAUGAAACCCAUUUGUUCAGAUCCUCUCUUUCACGUUGCUUCUUCACCUUUUCACGUUUCAACUUCGAGCUAUCUUCAACGGAGAGAGAGGAGUUUGGGGAAUUUUGUUUCUAAAAUAGAUGAUUAGUGGGCAUUCCAUGUGGGAUUUGGUUUGUGGGUCUCACUUGGUUAUGGCAAUGUUUUUGUUCUGGAAAAAUGCUUGUGGUUAUAGAUUUAGCUGGUUCUCUAUCUGGCGCAGAAAGAAGAGAUUCUUUCUUCCAGGUUUUCAUUUUUGGUUUGGGAACUUCUGGUUGGUAAUAAAGGUUUUUUAGUUGCUUGAAUUCUUGAGGCCAGAUGGCUUUCUCUUUUUCUUGUUUUCAUGGUGAACUGAAGAGACUAUUUGUGUAUCAUUGCAAGUUCAUGUUUGUGUGUCUGUGCACGAAUGUUGCCUUAUUGUUGGUGUUCUUGGAUACUAUUCUCUUAGACAUGAUGAAAAUGGCAGGCUGCAGUUAUCACUCUGCCUAUGUUCUCUGUUCCCAAUACUUUCAUUGUUCUGUUAUGUGCUUUGAAUUUCUUUUCAAUGCAUUUUAUGCUGAUUGGAGUUAAACUUUGACACUAUGGGGAUUUUGAUUCAUUUUCCGUGUCAUAGCCACAUGUUAAUAAUAUAGCCUUUGAAAUGGUUGUGCUUCCAUGUCAUACUCUAAUUACUCAUUCAUGUACUCUUUAAUUUUCUUUCUUUGUUUUAAAUGUCAGUGAAUCAUAACAAGUCCAAGAGUUCUGUCAUAGUGUGUAGGUGAUUUCUGCUUCUAUUCCUUGCUGUUGUUAUUGAUUUUUUGCACCUACGUUUCUUCUUGGUCUAUAUUGUUUUGGCAGAUGGAAUCAGACUAUCUAGAUUGUAAUGACAAUUUUGCAGGAAAAGAAUCUCUUCAUGACUUAUUUCCUCAAGAUUCUUCUCAUAAAAGUGACUUACAUGGAGAUCCACGUGUGAAUCCCGAAAUUGGAGAAGAAUUCCAAGUGAAUAUUCCUCCCAUGAUAACUGGAACCAGUUUAUUCAACUGUUAAUGAACCCUGCUGAUUCAAAUGUCACGUUAGAUGUUUCUCAUGCCUUUCUAAAUGGGUUUGCCCAUUCCAAUUGUGUGGGUCAAUGAUGAAGUAAAUAAUACUAAUGAUGCAGCUCGUAAAGAUGAGUCUUUCAAAUGUAAAAAGAGCAAAAUGGGUCAAAUUAAUAUAGGUAGGGGAGGUCCAGAACUCAAUAUUCUGGACUUCUGUGUUAGAUUGAAAGUCAGCAAAGAAUCAAAACCAGAGAACUUUAGAAGCAAGGAUUGCAGGAAGAACUGACUUGGAUAGACUUUGUAAAUGCACUAGUUAUUCUCCAGUUCCUGGUAUGCUAGGAGACUCUUGGAGCUGUGCUGAAAAGGAUAAUUUUCUUCUUUGUUUAUGUAUAUUCAGCAAAAACCUUUUUCAGAUAAAGAGAUUUAUUGAGACCAAAGAGAUGGGAGAGAUUUUAUCAUGUUACUAUGGGGAAUUUUAUAGGUCUAAUGAACACCUUAGGCGGUUAGAUUGCCGGAAACCAAGAAGUAGGGAGUGUGUAUACAGGAGGAAAAUUUUUAGUGGGUGGAGGCAACAAGAAUUGGUAUCUCGUUUGCUUCCCCGUGUUCCAGAGGCAUCUCAUAAUUCUUUGCCUGUGGUACUGCAUUAGUGUUUAUGUGAGAUAUUAUUGUGUUCCUAUUCAGUAGUGAUAUGUCUUGUCACAUUGAAGUAUCUACUAUCUUUUUUUCUCUUCUUUUUUCAGAUGAGUUGAAAAAGAUGCCUUCUAAUCUGUCACAUAUGUGUAGAAUAACAAUCUUUGUUCUGUUUUAGUUCUAAAUUGAAGCUACAAUUCUUCUCUCUUUAUUUUUACAACCCUGCUCUAAAAUUCUUGCUAGGUGGUUUAUCAUUAUAUUGGAAUUAUAAAUUACUAAAAUUGAUUGAAAAAUAGGACAGCUGCAAUAGCGAAAUUUGUAAUGUGAUGCAAUAGGUUACAAAAACAUUGUAAACUUCCCACUUGUUAACUAAAACUCUUUUACAUAUAUUUCACUCCUUAAAGCUGACUCUGGGAAGAAAUUUUAUCAAUAGGAAAAAUCUGCAUUAAGAAUGUAACAUUGGUGAGGAAAGAAUUUUAUGAAUGCUAGGGAAGUAAUAUGAUUUUACAGUCAUUAUUGCUCCUGUUUAUGUUAACAGUUAAAAUUACUUGUUCUUGUUUUGACAUCGUUUUUCUAUUUCCAAUCUCUAUUUUAGUUCUGAUCUCUCCCAAGUAAUUAGCAGAGGGAAGAACUUAACUCGACAUCUAUGUCUCCUAUUUGAAGGCCACUGUUGGACUUAGUGCUGUUGUAGAAUCUAUAGCCAUUGGUAAGGGGAAGGAGGAUCUCACAAGCCUUUCCAUGGAGCCUGUGAAGAUCAAUCAAGUGUUUCCUGUUUGUCCCAAAAUUCCAUGUGGCAAAGCUUGCUCCUCACUUAUAUCCAGUGACAUAAUCAAGAUUCUAAAUGGAGGCUUCAGAUUAAGCAAGGCUUGAUGUAAUGAUAUUUUCUGGGAAGCUGUUUGGCCACGUUUGCCAGCUAGAGGAUGGCACUCUGAGCAACCCAAGAAUCAUGUUACAUCACUUCCAAAGAUUAUCUGGUUUUUCUUAUGCCUGGAAUCAAGAAGUUCUCAAGAAGGAAACUUGUCAAAGGAGAGCACUACUUUGAUUCAGUUGGUGAUAUUUUCAACAAAGUGGCUUCUGAACCUUGAACUUGAAGAUGAAGAAUCUAGUGUCAGCAGCUACAAUGGCGAAGACCAGUGGGUUGCAGAAGAUUUAUCUGAUCAGGAUGAUCCAUCAGGUCAUAAACCCCACUGUUACCUAAAACCUUGUAGCUCUAGUUACAAUUCAGACCAUAUGAAGCUCAUGGUUGUAGAUUCCAGCUUGGUCCAUUGAGGAAAAUCAUCCAGGGUGAGAGAAUUGAGAAUUUUUUUUCCUGCUGAUUUUAAGGGUUCUUCCAAAAUGACUGCUAUUUCAGGAGAAAAUAAUGGGUACUUUGAGAAUUCCCUGGAUGAGCAUAAGCUUGCUGCUGCUAAUAUACCAUUGAACAUAGAGAAGAAAACAGGUAUUUCUGAGCUUAGCAAGGUUAAAUUUGGUACUGUCAGUUGAAACAGUAUGAGGUGCAUGGUUGUGGACGUAUAUACAAUGGAAGUUGUUUUGACAAGGAGGUGUCUCUGGUGAAAAAUGAGAACAAUCAUAUUCCUAUAUCAAUUGAUUUAAACCUUUCUCAGAUUAUUCUGCUGGACUCUGGAAAUUGUGAACUAGUAACGAGGGAGGUGGAAGACAGUCAAGGUACAAACGCAAAUGGUUUAUUCUUAUACGAGAACAAGCAUAAUCCUGAGGCACAGAAAAUCUCUUUUGGUGUUGAGUCCAGUAGACAAAGCACUAGAAACUGAGCAUUGACUGCUAAAGCAUUGGAAGCCCGCGCUUGUGGGUUCUUGAGCAUUAAUUAGAAAGAGAAAAGCAAAGAUUUUCACAGACAAAAAGUCUCAUUCUCAAGACCUUCCCACAGGGCUCGUAGCAGAGUCAAGGGAACAUCCAAUCACAUUACUUCUGGCACAGUAAUUGCAGAUUUGAAAAAAGAGGAAGUGAAUGAGACUUUUGUUGUAAACAAAGAUAUCACCAGUAAACCUAUGGGCCAAUUUGAAGGGAAGAGUCUCCCUAUCUACUAGUAAUUUCUAAAGCUGCUUAUUAGAUGGUUUGUCCUUUGAAGAUCAUGCAUUGAGCUUGACGCAGUAUACUGAUACUUUUGGAGCAAUCUUGAAGCAGCAAAAUUCUUUUAGAAAGUUUUCCUGCCUGUAUUUACUGCCAACCAAGAGAUACUGAUAUGCGGCAAUCUAAUUAAUGCUUUCACCUAGUGUGCUACAGAAGACAACUUGCUCUUUAAACAUAUG
Long non-coding RNA from Mangifera indica (mango), 4197 nucleotides. RefSeq lists it as uncharacterized. Lineage: Eukaryota; Viridiplantae; Streptophyta; Magnoliopsida; Sapindales; Anacardiaceae. The transcript has 2 exons. The record is from RefSeq and is a predicted model, not a curated record.